This 409-nucleotide ribosomal RNA is filed under the name bacterium. RNAcentral's name for it is "partial 16S ribosomal RNA". It matches the Rfam family "Bacterial small subunit ribosomal RNA", at positions 355 to 776 of the family's 1533-position model. The record is from RNAcentral.
UGGGGAAUAUUGCACAAUGGGCGAAAGCCUGAUGCAGCGACGCCGCGUGAGGGAUGACGGCCUUCGGGUUGUAAACCUCUUUCAGCAGGGACGAAGCGCAAGUGACGGUACCUGCAGAAGAAGCACCGGCUAACUACGUGCCAGCAGCCGCGGUAAUACGUAGGGUGCAAGCGUUGUCCGGAAUUACUGGGCGUAAAGAGUUCGUAGGCGGUUUGUCGCGUCGUUUGUGAAAACCAGCAGCUCAACUGCUGGCUUGCAGGCGAUACGGGCAUACUUGAGUACUGCAGGAGCGACUGGUAUUCCUGGUGUAGCGGUGAAAUGCGCAGAUAUCAGGAGGAACCCCGGUGGCGAAGGCGGGUCUCUUGGCAGUAACUGACGCUGAGGAACGAAAGCGUGGGUAGCGAACAGG